Molecule: long non-coding RNA, 803 nt
Organism: Dermacentor andersoni
Lineage: Eukaryota; Metazoa; Arthropoda; Arachnida; Ixodida; Ixodidae
Source: RefSeq, a predicted model, not a curated record
AUCGAGCUGCGAAAAGAAUACGCUCUACGACAUCGCUGCUGCAGCGGUUUGUAAUGCUGAGGCUGCUCUUCCUAACGCUGGACAAUACGCUUUAUCUUUCGGGCAAGAAGACAGCUCCACAAGCGUCCCCAAACUGCUCAAAACAACCCUGCGAUGAAACUUUUGGCCUGCCUUCUAUUUCUCAUUUCCUGCGUCCAUUACGUUUGCGCCCUGAAACAUGUUAUCUUUAAGCACUGCCUGUCACCAAGCACAGUUCGUGGAUGCAGAGACCACGCACAAUCUUGGGGUAUUGAUUUCGUAACCCGAGUUUGCAAACUAUUCAAUAUUGAUACUUGCAAUUCAACAACCCCAACCAAGUUUGUUUCGGAAAAAUUGUGUCAACACAUGUGCCUGCCACCACCAAAGCGAAAACUCUUGUGCAGCCUCAUGCCGAAACCAGGCCCUUGCUCUCCGCGCAAUCUCACGUGGCACUUCGAUGCCCAAACCGGCUUCUGUAAACAUUUUACAGGCAUGAAAUGUGGAACCAAUGCUAACAGCUUUUCCUCCUGUCAUACGUGUACGAAGAGAUGCAGCAAUCGCAAGGCGGACGCAGUAUGUGUCCUGCCUUAGAUACUCAAAACCACAUUGAAGUCUAAAAAUAAACUACACGUAGAAAAUGUACCGGCACGGCCCCCCACUUGCAGGACCAGACUAAACAAAACUGCAAGAUCGAACGCCCUUGGAGCCUGCUAAAUAACACCAGAAUAAAGGAUUUUAAUGAAAGGAAUAAAGGAAUAAAGGACCUGCCCAGUUUCGCCUCCGUA